Molecule: ribosomal RNA, 668 nt
Filed under: uncultured Bacilli bacterium
Lineage: Bacteria; Bacillati; Bacillota; Bacilli
Description: bacterial SSU rRNA
Rfam family: Bacterial small subunit ribosomal RNA
Source: RNAcentral
UACAUGCAAGUAGAACGCUGAAGAGAGGAGCUUGCUCUUCUUGGAUGAGUUGCGAACGGGUGAGUAACGCGUAGGUAACCUGCCUUGUAGCGGGGGAUAACUAUUGGAAACGAUAGCUAAUACCGCAUAACAAUGGAUGACCCAUGUCAUUUAUUUGAAAGGGGCAAAUGCUCCACUACAAGAUGGACCUGCGUUGUAUUAGCUAGUAGGUGAGGUAACGGCUCACCUAGGCGACGAUACAUAGCCGACCUGAGAGGGUGAUCGGCCACACUGGGACUGAGACACGGCCCAGACUCCUACGGGAGGCAGCAGUAGGGAAUCUUCGGCAAUGGGGGCAACCCUGACCGAGCAACGCCGCGUGAGUGAAGAAGGUUUUCGGAUCGUAAAGCUCUGUUGUAAGUCAAGAACGAGUGUGAGAGUGGAAAGUUCACACUGUGACGGUAGCUUACCAGAAAGGGACGGCUAACUACGUGCCAGCAGCCGCGGUAAUACGUAGGUCCCGAGCGUUGUCCGGAUUUAUUGGGCGUAAAGCGAGCGCAGGCGGUUUGAUAAGUCUGAAGUUAAAGGCUGUGGCUCAACCAUAGUUCGCUUUGGAAACUGUCAAACUUGAGUGCAGAAGGGGAGAGUGGAAUUCCAUGUGUAGCGGUGAAAUGCGUAGAUAUAUGGAG